Molecule: ribosomal RNA, 484 nt
Filed under: uncultured bacterium
Lineage: Bacteria
Description: partial 16S ribosomal RNA
Rfam family: Bacterial small subunit ribosomal RNA
Source: RNAcentral
AUUGAACGCUGGCGGCAGGCCUAACACAUGCGAGUCGAGCGGAUGAAGGGAGCUUGCUCCUGGAUUCAGCGGCGGACGGGUGAGUAAUGCCUAGGAAUCUGCCUGGUAGUGGGGGAUAACGUCCGGAAACGGGCGCUAAUACCGCAUACGUCCUGAGGGAGAAAGUGGGGGAUCUUCGGACCUCAGGCUAUAAGAUGAGCCUAGGUCGGAUUAGCUAGUUGGUGGGGUAAAGGCCUACCAAGCCGACGAUCCGUAACUGGUCUGAGAGGAUGAUCAGUCACACUGGAACUGAGACACGGUCCAGACUCCUACGGGAGGCAGCAGUGGGGAAUAUUGGACAAUGGGCGAAAGCCUGAUCCAGCCAUGCCGCGUGUGUGAAGAAGGUCUUCGGAUUGUAAAGCACUUUAAGUUGGGAGGAAGGGCAGUAAGUUAAUACCUUGCUGUUUUGACGUUACCAACAGAAUAAGCACCGGCUAACUUCGUG